GAGCUUUUGAAGGAAUUCUAGAAGUAGGAAUGGGGCUGAUUCUCAGUUUUAGAUACCUUUAUUUUCUAACCUUCCAGGAAUGAUUAGGGGACAUUUUCAUUCUGGUUUAAUUCACUAGAGAGAGAUUUAUAAACAGAUGGGUAACUUAAGCCGGAAGACACAUCUUCCAUUGAAAAUAACUUUGCAAGUCAGAGCCUCUCUUCUUCGGAGCUGGGAAAUCAACUUGGUGAACCAAUGAAGAUGAAUGGAGUGCUCAAUAAGAAAGCUGCAAGGAAGGUUUUGCUUAAUCACUGGAGAUAUCGGGAUAUGUAAGACAAGAUGUACCCGCUUGAGGAGCACACAGUUGAUUGCCAAGAUGGACACAUCUAUUGCACCUGAGCACCUGAGCAGGACUAGGACAGAGGCAAGCGGAGACAGGAGGAGGACGACUGCCUCAGACCCGACGGAGGACCAGCAGGGCCAGACCCAUGGGAGAGUGAGGAGCUGGUGUUAACUGUGGGAUUCACUGUGGCAUCCUACCCCAAAGGCAAAGAAGAUGAAAAUGCAGCAUGAAGAGCUCGGCUUGAUUCCCAAGUCGCAGUCUGGCUCCUGCU
Molecule: long non-coding RNA, 593 nt
Organism: Gorilla gorilla gorilla (western lowland gorilla)
Lineage: Eukaryota; Metazoa; Chordata; Mammalia; Primates; Hominidae
Exons: 3
Source: RefSeq, a predicted model, not a curated record